GAUGAACGCUGGCGGCGUGCCUAAUACAUGCAAGUCGAACGAUAAGGCGAGGAGCUUGCUCGUCUGGCGUUAGAGGCGGACGGGUGAGUAACGCGUGGGUAACCUACCUAUAAGAAAGGGAUAAAUUCGGGAACCAAUAGCUAAUACCGGAUAAUAUUUUAAACCGCAUGGCUCAAUAGUGAAAGCGGGUUUUGCUGCCAAUUAUAGAUGAGUCAGCGCCGCAUUAGCUAGUUGAGAAGGUAACGGCUUACCAAGGGGACGGAGCGUAGCCGCCCUGAGAGGGGGAUCGGCCACACGGGAACUGAGACACGCCCCAGACUCCUACGGGAGGCAGCAGGGGGGAAUCUGGCGCAAUGGGCGAAGCCCUGACGGAGCAACGCCGCGUGAGGGAGAAAGGUCUUCGGAUCGUAAAUCUCUGUUAUUAGGAAAGAACAAAUGUGUAUGUAACUAUGCACUUCUGACCGUAACCUAAUCAGAAGGCCACGGCAAAUAACUG
This 496-nucleotide ribosomal RNA is filed under the name uncultured bacterium. Its description in RNAcentral is "partial 16S ribosomal RNA". It matches the Rfam family "Bacterial small subunit ribosomal RNA", at positions 28 to 506 of the family's 1533-position model. The record is from RNAcentral.